GGUUCUAUAGUUUAUUUAUAUAAAAUAUUAAAUUGCAAAUUUAAAGAAAGAAAAAUUUUUAGAACUU
RNAcentral lists this transfer RNA (67 nucleotides) under Carabus smaragdinus. Its description in RNAcentral is "tRNA-Cys". RNAcentral also lists the same sequence under 2 other names. Lineage: Eukaryota; Metazoa; Arthropoda; Insecta; Coleoptera; Carabidae. The record is from RNAcentral.